This 463-nucleotide ribosomal RNA is filed under the name uncultured bacterium. RNAcentral's name for it is "SSU rRNA". It matches the Rfam family "Bacterial small subunit ribosomal RNA", at positions 26 to 518 of the family's 1533-position model. The record is from RNAcentral.
AGGAUUAACGCUGGCGGCGUGCCUAACACAUGCAAGUCGAACGAGGUAGCAAUACCUAGUGGCAGACGGGUGAGUAGCGCGUGGUCAACCUACCGUUGAGUGGGGGAUAACUAGCCGAAAGGUUAGCUAAUACCGCAUACGUCUCCGAGGAGCAUCCCUUGGCGAUAAAAGGAGCAAUCCGCUCGAUGACGGGACCGCGUCCCAUUAGCUAGUUGGUGGGGUAACGGCCUACCAAGGCAUCGAUGGGUAGCUGGUUUGAGAGAGCGACCAGCCACACUGGGACUGAGAUACGGCCCAGACUCCUACGGGAGGCAGCAGUGAGGAAUUUUCCGCAAUGGGCGAAAGCCUGACGGAGCGACGCCGCGUGUGGGAAGAAGGCCUUCGGGUCGUAAACCACUGUCGAAGGGGAAGAUAAUGACGGUACCCUUGGAGGAAGCCCGGCUAACUACGCGCCAGCAGCCGC